Long non-coding RNA from Medicago truncatula (barrel medic), 787 nucleotides. RefSeq lists it as uncharacterized. The transcript has 2 exons. NCBI's taxonomy places the organism in Eukaryota, Viridiplantae, Streptophyta, Magnoliopsida, Fabales, Fabaceae. The record is from RefSeq and is a predicted model, not a curated record.
AAGAAAAUUAUUUUUGUAUAUUUAAGAUGUAACAUCUCAGACGACUUUCAGGAUUGUCGACUGACUCCACGUUUUUUGGGAAACUUCUCAGAAGGCCACCCAUCCAAAGACUAGCUACUCCAAGUCAAGCAUGCUUAACUGUGGAGUUCUUAUGGAAUGUGCUACCGAAAAGAAGAUGCAUCUUGUUGAUAUAGGCAGUAACCAAACAAUUCUUAUAAGUCUUCCUUCAACCAUGUUGUCCCAUACCUACACAGUCUCAGAAUCCCUUUCAUUUCAAUGUGAUUCGGUUGCCUCGUCAGCCUCAGACGUUACAUAAGGGGAGUUAGGUGAUAGUGCAGAAGUUAAGAGAGGAGUAAGCAUUAGUCUAUUGAGUUGAGUUAUCAAACUUCACUUAUAAUAUUGUAAUUAAGAGUAAAAAGAACACUUAAUGCCCUGUUUUACUUUCUGUGUUUUGAUUUUAUUUUAUCUUUCAACUGAUAAAUCUAAAAGAUAAAGAUCCAAAAUCUCCUCCACCAUUGUCUUUUAAAAUUUUAUAAGACAGGACAAGUAAUGAAGAAAUGAGAGCAUUUGGCAUAGGUAGGAGCAAAGAAAUUGAAGAAAAGCAAGAAAAAUGAAUAGUUGGAAAAAAGCACACGGUCCUUACUGACUCAUGUCCAGUAUUUCGAUCAUAAGUUAAGUUGCAAUGAAGUCAAACUAAAGGCAAACGAAAGGUCCUCCAUCAGAUUUGUAAUCAUCUUGGAAUCUUGUCAACUUGUUUUUGAUUGAAUCAAAGUUAACAUUGUUCUAA